RNAcentral lists this ribosomal RNA (18 nucleotides) under Homalomena hanneae. RNAcentral's name for it is "partial 5.8S ribosomal RNA". Lineage: Eukaryota; Viridiplantae; Streptophyta; Magnoliopsida; Alismatales; Araceae. The record is from RNAcentral.
ACGACUCCCGGCAACGGA